UGCGCAGGCGGUUCGGAAAGAAAGAUGUGAAAUCCCCGGGCUCAACCUGGGAACUGCAUUUGAAACUGGCAAGCUAGAGUCUCGUAGAGGGGGGUAGAAUUCCAGGUGUAGCGGUGAAAUGCGUAGAGAUCUGGAGGAAUACCGAUGGCGAAGGCGGCCCCCUGGACGAAGACUGACGCUCAGGUGCGAAAGCGUGGGGAGCAAACA
Molecule: ribosomal RNA, 207 nt
Filed under: uncultured bacterium
Lineage: Bacteria
Description: partial 16S ribosomal RNA
Rfam family: Bacterial small subunit ribosomal RNA
Source: RNAcentral